CAUCGGGUGACGAGCGGCGGAGGGUGAGUAAUGUCUGGGAAACUGCCUGAUGGAGGGGGAUAACUACUGGAAACGGUAGCUAAUACCGCAUAACGUCGCAAGACCAAAGUGGGGGACCUUCGGGCCUCAUGCCAUCAGAUGUGCCCAGAUGGGAUUAGCUAGUAGGUGGGGUAACGGCUCACCUAGGCGACGAUCCCUAGCUGGUCUGAGAGGAUGACCAGCCACACUGGAACUGAGACACGGUCCAGACUCCUACGGGAGGCAGCAGUGGGGAAUAUUGCACAAUGGGCGCAAGCCUGAUGCAGCCAUGCCGCGUGUGUGAAGAAGGCCUUCGGGUUGUAAAGCACUUUCAGCGGGGAGGAAGGCGAUAAGGUUAAUAACCUUGGCGAUUGACGUUACCCGCAGAAGAAGCACCGGCUAACUCCGUGCCAGCAGCCGCGGUAAUACGGAGGGUGCAAGCGUUAAUCGGAAUUACUGGGCGUAAAGCGCACGCAGGCGGUCUGUCAAGUCGGAUGUGAAAUCCCCGGGCUCAACCUGGGAACUGCAUUCGAAACUGACAGGCUAGAGUCUUGUAGAGGGGGGUAGAAUUCCAGGUGUAGCGGUGAAAUGCGUAGAGAUCUGGAGGAAUACCGGUGGCGAAGGCGGCCCCCUGGACAAAGACUGACGCUCAGGUGCGAAAGCGUGGGGAGCAAACAGGAUUAGAUACCCUGAUAGUCCACGCCGUAAACGAUGUCGAUUUGAGGUUGUGCCCUUGAAGUCGUGCCUUCUGGAGCUAACGCGUUAAAUCGA
RNAcentral lists this ribosomal RNA (789 nucleotides) under Klebsiella pneumoniae. RNAcentral describes it as "bacterial SSU rRNA". It matches the Rfam family "Bacterial small subunit ribosomal RNA", at positions 81 to 868 of the family's 1533-position model. The record is from RNAcentral. Lineage: Bacteria; Pseudomonadati; Pseudomonadota; Gammaproteobacteria; Enterobacterales; Enterobacteriaceae.